GUCUCCAGUCUCUUAAAACAGUGGUGGCUCCUGAGGUUUACCCAUUCGUGGCCCACACCUGUUCAACACAUCCCAGACUAGGAAAGCUGAAAUAAAAGAAGAUCUGUGUUUCAUCAGAUGAAAGAACUAUGUAGUCCAACCAACCAUUUGCACAGUAGCCACUGUCAAGCAGAUGACUAACCUGUUUUAUUCAGCAAUGACACUAUGGGUCAAACUGAUUCAGAUAAUUGAGGCAAUAUAUAGACACAAUUUCAUCUUUAAUAGCCACUGAGACCUUUCUCCACAAUUAAUUUGUUCAGUCCUCUUUUAUAGUUCUCUGAAUUAGUGGUCAUCUCUCUCUACAUCUCUACAUAGUGAAUCUCAUACUUUCUGCCCUGGAAAGCAGACCCUUGGUGAAAUAAGCCUAAGGAAAGUACACCCUGCCUCCUGCAGUGCUCUUGCUCCUUCCAAACUAGCUGCACGGGGUCAUUUUUGGCUGGAGGUGGUGUAGGGAACACACAUUUUCUGCAAUCAGUUUAGUGAUCUGGAAGAAGAGAGUGGCCCUGUCAACUUGAGACAACAACAGUGGAAGUGAUUUGUGUUGCUGCUGGAGUCUAAAGGAUGGCUGCUCUUUGUCCUUCCUGCCUUCUGGAUGAGGCCAGCACUAAAUCAGUGCCAGUUUAUGUUACACGAUGACCUGAUUCUUCAGAUAGACUAACUGAAUACAGUCCAGGCUGAAUCGCCACUGCCCAAACCAUCUGUUAUGCACCUGCCAAGCCAGCUCAUUCACAAAUAUCUGCAUAAAUUCUUACUCUGUAAUAUUGCGAUUAGUUGUAGUUUGCUAUCACUGCGAUCCUAUUUCAGCUCUCUAAGUAUAAAAAGGAGAUAUAACGUGCUGACAUAAAGAGAGAGAUAUAGUCUACUACAGCCUUGAUAAAUACUCAACUGCCCGUGCCUCAAGAGUGUAGCCUUAUCAACAUUGUACGUUUACAGUAUUUAUUUCAAAACACCACAAAGACAGACAAAACAUUUAAUGAAGAGUUCUGCAGAACUCAAAAACUUGCAUGCACUUUUGCCGCACUCUGAUUGGUUGGAGUAAAGAUUUUAUUCCACUGUUAAGGACUUUUCCAAAGUCUAUGCAUUUAGCUGAAAAUGUCAUCAUGAGUCGUUUUUCUUCUUUUUGAUAACAAAGAAGGGACUUUACAUACAGUAGAGUCUCACUUAUCCAACAUAAACGGGCCAGCAGAACGUUGGAUAAGCGAAUAUGUUGGAUAACAAGGAGAAGCCUAUUAAACAUCAAAUUAGGUUAUGGUUUUACAAAUUAAGCACCAAAAACAUCAUGUUAUACAACAAAAUUGACAGAAAAAGUAGUUCAAUAUGCAGUAAUGCUACGUAGUAAUUACUGUAUUUACGAAUUUAGCACCAAAAUGUCACGAUGUAUUGAAAACAUUGACUACAAAAAUACAUUGGAUAAUCCAGAACGUUGGAUAAGCGAAUGUUGGAUAAGUGAGACUCUACUGUACUACUUUUUUAUGCCAUGUAAUUCCAUUUGAAAUCCACUCCAGCCAUUCUUGUGAGAGUAACUGAUGGCUGAGACUUUGUAUCAUACCCUUGUCAUAUUUGUACUUUAAGAAUGUAAUUUGCACAUUUUUGUGCACAUUAACAGCAUCAUUACUAACUUGUGAACUUCACGUCUUGCUUUGUGAUAGGUUUAUCAAUUUUUAAAAGAUUGUAGCUAGAAGGGUAGCAUAACAUUAUGAUGGUAGAAUGUGCUAUAAUCUAAUUACGAUAUAACAGCAAGCAAACAAACAAGAUCAGUUAUCAGAGGAGGGGCUUUAGAGUUGUUUAAACAUACUAGACAAGUAAUCUUUCCCUACCAAAGCACCUGAAGUGGUUUUGGAGUCCUUGGAAUCCUUGAGGGAGGGAUAAGCAAGUGCUAUAAGACACUUGAACUAGUUACUAAAUUGUUGUGGGAAAAGGAGGCCAUUCAACAUUGCUGGAUAAGAUGGAAGCAAAAAUGGGACUAAUGCAUUGCUAUGGCAGUAUAACAGCAUGGUGUGAUAAUACUCUCAGCAGGGCUGGCUGGUCAAUCUAUUUCUGUUACAGGUCAACUCUCAGCUUAUGUUAGCUUCUCUUACAGCUGUUCCUGGUUGUGUGGGAGCUAUCUGGGUUCUGGCCCUUAUUUUUAACAGAGGAUCAGCAGUAUGGAGAUCUUCCCUACAACCCAAAGCAGCUGGAAGAGACACGGGUGGAAAACUGAUAGUGGUUUCACUACACCUGUGCUUAUCGUCCACGAGGCCCCAUCUGUACUGCCAUAUAAUUCAGUUUCAGAAGGCAGUUUGAUUGCACUGAAGUGGAUUAUAUGAGUCUGCACUGCCAUAUAGUCCAGUUUAAGGUAGUUUAACUGCAUUUUGAAACUCCAUUAUAUGGCAGUGUAGAUGGGACCUGUUUUUCCAUUUCUGUGACAGCAUACAGUAUCUGAAUGAGAUGUUUCUUGCUCCAUAACCUACCAUUCUAUGUUUCCUGAAUGUAUAAAAUGCAGGAAAGGCCAGUAUAGACAACUGCAUUAAAUUCUUUGAAGAAGCUUAAAGAUACAAGUCAGAAUACAUCCUCCUGCCAAACCUGUAACCCCCAACAAUACGGUUUGUUUAAAAAAAACUGGCAACUUUUUCUCCCAUGGGAAGACAUUGGCACAGUAACCUCAAAUGAAUUCUGACUAACCCAGCUGGAAUGAAUGAAAAUUAAACUGUAUCAAGAGCAGAAAGAAGUCUUUACUGCCUUUGCUUCUUCACCGUUCACACUCAGCCCAAAUGCACAUGUGAAAUCACAGUACAAAACAGGAACAAAACUAACAGUCUUCUUUGGAUCAAAGUGAACCUUGAGAAUUGCUGUUUAUCAAAUCAGCAAAUAAAUAUCCAACAACAAUCGACCCAAAUACUUCAGCAAUCAUUCUUACCUCUAAUUAUCAGUGAUAUCCCUGUUUUGUGGGGAAAUCCCAAUGUCCUACAUGAAGAAUUUAUCACCUCUUGCAUUUUUAUAGGUAGUGAAUGCCCAAAAUACAUAAUAGUAUCUUCUGCCAGCAAUAUCAUAGAUUUCAAAGCCCAGUAAAAUAUGCAAUUUGGCAUGCUCUAGUUUUGAAGUUUCCACAAUCUGCUUUUGAUUUUUUUCACUAGGUUAUUAUUAAAAUGUAAAGAUUUAUUUGUGCCUCUUUUAAUAUGCAAUCAUAAUGAUUUUGAAAUGCAUAUCCAAUGAUCAGAAUGGUUGUGCCACUUGUAUGUUUCUUAUUAUAUUGGUAGAACCCAAAGCACAUGCAACAAAUCACAUAGCAUUUCAUUUAUAUAAAUUUACAGUGUGAAUUAUGCAGUCUAGUUGUAGUUGAAUUGAAGUUGUUAUUGAAUUGCACCUCCCAGCAUAUCUCACCCUGGGUUAUGCUGGCUGAGUAUGAUAGGAGUUGCAGUUCCAUACGAACUAGAUGUUUGCACAAUUCUCAUCUGUAAUGUAAACCAAUUCUUGCAAUAAUCUCUUAUAAGUUUGCCGGAUCUUUAAAUAUGACACUAGCAGAGGGAAAGCACUCUUCCUCUCCCACUCAUCUUUUGAUCACAUAUAUACAUCCAGAGUAAUACAUUAGGAGAUCCAGAACAAUAUGAAAUACAGUAAGAUGGUUACUCAUGAUAGUGAUAUUCUAAUUGAGGAAAUCCCACUUGUGACAUUUGUAAGGCUUCAGGACUUUUCUUCAUAUGUGGUAUUGGGUAAAAGUUAAAGGUUUUCCCCAGACAUUAAGUCCAGUCAUGUCUGACUCUGGGGGUUGGUGCUCAUCUCCAUUUCUAAGCCUAAGAGCCGGCGUUGUCCAUAGACACCUCCAAGGUCAUGUGGCCGGCAUGACUGCAUGGAACGCCGUUACCUUCCCGCCGGAGCGGUACCUAUUGAUCUACUCACAUUUGCAUGUUUUUGAACUGCUAGGUUGGUAGAAGCUGGGGCUAACAGUGGGCACUCACUCCACUCCCCUGAUUCGAACCUCUGACCUUUGGGUCCGCAAGUUCAGCAGCUCAGCACUUUAACGCGCUGCGCCACUGUGGAUUCAUAUGUGAGAUUAAGUUCAGAAAAUAUGUACAGAAAAUAAUGGUUUCUGUGUAUGAAACUGCAUCCCAACCAACAAAGUCACAAGCUAAAAUCACAGCACUGAGUAUCUCAUUUCAAUUCUUGUGUAUGCUUCCUUGCUUUCACAACACGAUUACAACUUUAUUAGAGCAUCUCUCCUUGUGCUAGAUGUCAUGGUGGCUGCCCAAGGAACAGGAUGCUAAAAACCAGGUUGAGAGUCAGCAAAACACAUGGAAAAGCUUGGGAGCAUUUGAAAAAUAAUGCAUGGUGUGAAAACUGUACAGUGCCUGUAUUUAUCCUGGGUGGGCCUUUUGAGGAGAAAAUUUCACAAGCAAAGUGUCACCAAUGAGUCACAAUUGGCAUCCCCUUUGAUGAUAUGGGACCUGGAAGAGGGCUUCUCAAGAUUCUAAUAAACCAGUUAAAGCAUU
Molecule: long non-coding RNA, 4505 nt
Organism: Anolis carolinensis (green anole)
Lineage: Eukaryota; Metazoa; Chordata; Lepidosauria; Squamata; Anolidae
Exons: 2
Source: RefSeq, a predicted model, not a curated record